CUCCUACGGAGGCAGCAGUGGGGAAUUGGUUCGCAAUGGGCGCAAGCCUGACGACGCAACGCCGCGUGGAGGAUGAAGAAUUUCGGUUCGUAAACUCCUUUCGACCGAGAUGAAUACCCUUCGGCUUAAUACGCUGAAGGGCUGACAGUAUCGAGGGAAGAAGCCCCGGCUAACUCCGUGCCAGCAGCCGCGGUAAUUC
RNAcentral lists this ribosomal RNA (199 nucleotides) under uncultured bacterium. RNAcentral describes it as "partial 16S ribosomal RNA". It matches the Rfam family "Bacterial small subunit ribosomal RNA", at positions 336 to 526 of the family's 1533-position model. The record is from RNAcentral.